CUAGGUGAUUCUCUGUGGUCCUGUAAUAGGACCUGGACAUCACUACUAAGCUAGGUGAUUCUCUGUGGUCCUGUAAUAGGACCUGGACAUCACUACUAUGCUAGGUGAUUCUCUGUGGUCCUGUAAUAGGACCUGGACAUCACUACUAAGCUAGGUGAUUCUCUGUGGUCCUGUAAUAGGACCUGGACAUCACUACUAAGCUAGGUGAUUCUCUGUGGUCCUGUAAUAGGACCUGGACAUCACUACUAAGCUAGGUGAUUCUCUGUGGUCCUGUAAUAAGACCAGGACAUCACUACUAAGCUAGGUGAUUCUCUGUGGUCCUGUAAUAGGACCUGGACAUCACUACUAAGCUAGGUGAUUGUCUGUGGCCCUGUAAUAGGACCAGGACAUCACUACUAAGCUAGGUGAUUCUCUGUGGUCCUGUAAUAGGACCUGGACAUCACUACUAAGCAAGGUGAUUCUCUGUGGUCGUGUAAUAGGACCUGGACAUCACUACUAAGCUAGGUGAUUCUCUGUGGUCCUGUAAUAGGACCUGGACAUCACUACUAAGCUAGGUGAUUCUCUGUGGUCC
This 571-nucleotide long non-coding RNA is filed under the name Salmo salar (Atlantic salmon). RNAcentral describes it as "lncRNA (ENSSSAG00000089108.1)". The record is from RNAcentral. Lineage: Eukaryota; Metazoa; Chordata; Actinopteri; Salmoniformes; Salmonidae.